ACGAACGCUGGCGGCGUGCCUAAAACAUGCAAGUCGAACGAGGUCCAUCCAGUGGCAACACUGGUGAAGACCUAGUGGCGAACGGGUGAGUAACACGUGAGGAACCUGCCCCGAAGACCGGGAUAACCCUCCGAAAGGAGAGCUAAUACCGGAUACCCCCUGGAGAUCGCAUGGUCACCAGAGGAAAUGCUUUCGUGCUUCGGGAGGGCCUCGCGGCCUAUCAGCUUGUUGGUGGGGUAACGGCCCACCAAGGCGUCGACGGGUAGCUGGUCUGAGAGGACGAUCAGCCACACUGGGACUGAGACACGGCCCAGACUCCUACGGGAGGCAGCAGUUAGGAAUCUUGCGCAAUGGGCGAAAGCCUGACGCAGCAACGCCGCGUGGGGGAUGAAGGCCCUCGGGUUGUAAACCCCUUUCAGUCGGGACGAAAACAGACGGUACCGACAGAAGAAGCACCGGCCAACUACGU
RNAcentral lists this ribosomal RNA (469 nucleotides) under uncultured bacterium. RNAcentral describes it as "bacterial SSU rRNA". It matches the Rfam family "Bacterial small subunit ribosomal RNA", at positions 29 to 506 of the family's 1533-position model. The record is from RNAcentral.